This 109-nucleotide ribosomal RNA is filed under the name Caerostris darwini. The record is from RNAcentral. Lineage: Eukaryota; Metazoa; Arthropoda; Arachnida; Araneae; Araneidae.
ACGGCCAUACCAUGCUGAAUAUACCGGUUCUCGUUAGAUCGCAAGUCAAGCAUCAUUGGGCGCGGUCAGUACUUGGGUGGGUGACCACCUGGGAACACCGCGUACCGUU